RNAcentral lists this ribosomal RNA (404 nucleotides) under uncultured bacterium. RNAcentral describes it as "bacterial SSU rRNA". It matches the Rfam family "Bacterial small subunit ribosomal RNA", at positions 355 to 776 of the family's 1533-position model. The record is from RNAcentral.
UGGGGGAUAUUGCACAAUGGGGGGAACCCUGAUGCAGCGACGCCGCGUGAGCGAUGAAGUGCUUCGGUAUGUAAAGCUCUAUCAGCAGGGAAGAAGAUGACGGUACCUGACUAAGAAGCCCCGGCUAACUACGUGCCAGCAGCCGCGGUAAUACGUAGGGGGCAAGCGUUAUCCGGAUUUACUGGGUGUAAAGGGAGCGUAGACGGCGAUGCAAGCCUGGAGUGAAAGGCGGGGGCUCAACCCCCGGACUGCUUUGGGAACUGCAUGGCUGGAGUGUCGGAGAGGCAGGCGGAAUUCCUAGUGUAGCGGUGAAAUGCGUAGAUAUUAGGAGGAACACCAGUGGCGAAGGCGGCCUGCUGGACGAUGACUGACGUUGAGGCUCGAAAGCGUGGGGAGCAAACAGG